UGGGUCAGUUGGUAGAGCAUGGCGCUUGCAACGCCAGGGUUGUGGGUUUGAUACCCAC
RNAcentral lists this transfer RNA (58 nucleotides) under Salmo salar (Atlantic salmon). It matches the Rfam family "tRNA", at positions 8 to 63 of the family's 71-position model. Rfam says of the family: Transfer RNA (tRNA) molecules are approximately 80 nucleotides in length. Lineage: Eukaryota; Metazoa; Chordata; Actinopteri; Salmoniformes; Salmonidae. RNAcentral also lists the same sequence under 2 other names. The record is from Rfam by way of RNAcentral.